AAACAACAAGGAUUUUUAUCUUUUCAUUUCUUACCAACUUUUCCCCCUUAGUUUCGUUAAGGGAUAAUGAUUCAGAAUUAUAGAAUCUAACAGUUAGAAGGGAUUUCUGAAGCCAUCUCUCACAGAAUAAGAAUUCCUUCUGUAUGAUCCUUGAUCAAUGAUCAUCUAUUAGCCUCUGCUGAAAGACUUCUAUGUGAAGAGGAAAGUGGUAGGUUUGAAGGCAGUCCAUUUGCCAUUUGGAUAACUAAUUAUUAGCAGGUUUUUCUUUAUAUCAAGCCUAAAGCCACACUUUGGUAACAUUUAACCAUUAUGCCUUGCUUAAUUUCCUGGGAGCAGAACAAGGUUCAUCCCCUUCCAUAUGACAUCCUUAAAAAUACUUGUACAGAGCUAAAAUAUCCUCUCAAGUCUUCUCCUUUGGGAGCCUAAAUAUUCCUAAUUCUUUCUACUAACAUUAUAAUAAUAGCCUCCAUUAGAACAGACUUCUUGAUGACUGGAGUUGUUUCCCUCUCUUCCUUGUUGUUUCCUUGUUUCCUUGUUUCCUUCCUUCCUUCCUUCCUUCCUUCCUUUCUUCUUUCCUUCAUCUCUCUUUUCUUUCUUUUCUCUUUCUUCCUUCCUUCCUUUCUACCUUCCUUCCUUCCUUUCUUCCUUCUUUUCUCUUUCUUUCUUCCUUUCUACCUUCUUUCCUUCCUUCCUUCCUUCUUUCUUUUCCUUUCUUCCUCAUCUUAGGAUCCUCAGUGACUAGGGCAGUCCCUUGCAAAUAGUAGAUGCUUUAUGAAUACUUGGCACCUAGGUGGCACAGUGGACAAGCACUAGGCCUGGAGUCAAGAAGACCUGAAUUCAAAUCUGACCUCAGAUGCUUGUUAGCUGUGUGACCCUGGGCAAGUCACUUUCCCUGGUUUGUCUCAGUUCCUAACCUAUAAAAUUGAGUUGGAGAAGGAAAUGACGAACCACUUUAGUAUCUUUGCCAAACCCCAAAUGGAGCCACUUCAGACAUGACUGAACACUAGCAGGAAUGAAUACUUGGAAAAAUAAAAAAGGUAUGAUCUCACA
RNAcentral lists this long non-coding RNA (1050 nucleotides) under Monodelphis domestica (gray short-tailed opossum). Its description in RNAcentral is "lncRNA (ENSMODG00000047302.1)". Lineage: Eukaryota; Metazoa; Chordata; Mammalia; Didelphimorphia; Didelphidae. The record is from RNAcentral.